GAAAAAUAAUUAAAAAAAAAGUUGUUCUCUCUAUUCUUCUCUUCGUCUUCUCCGACGACUCCGACGACUCCAUAUUCAUAAAUUCAUAAGGCUAUCCCAAAAACAAAGCACAAAACUUUUGCCUCUACUCAAUACUCAUCUCUCUCUCAAUUCUCUGAUUAGGGUUUUUUCAUAAACACGAAAAAAGGGUCUUUUUUCUUUCACUAAUCUCUCAUGGCUUCUCCCUCUUUUGAUUGGAAAAUUUAAAAUCUUUUAGGAAUUGAUAGUGGCAAAAUUUUAAAUUGGUUGAUUUUGGUCAUAAAACAACAAAUCUCCGGCGAAAUCAUCAUCAUCCCUGGCGAUGAAGACGACGGCUCCAGGAGAAUCUUGAGCGUUGAACAACCACCACCACAUCUUAUAAUGGCAAAUGCGAUCACAUUCUUCGAGCUCAACACCGGCGUUAAGUUCCCGUCGGUGGGUCUUGGAACAUGGCAAGCUUCUCCUGGCCUCGUCGGCGAUGCCGUAGCCGCCGCUGUUAAGGUUCGCCAUUCUUAAUUUGGAACCUAUUUGCUUCCGAUCUCUUUUAGAUUCAUUAGUUUGAUGAUUCCAUACUCUGUUUGAAUUAGAUUUUUUUUGGUUAUGCUUCAACUAGUUUAAUCUUAAUCCUAAUUGUAUUUUGGCUAUCGUCAUAUUGAUUGCGCUCAGAUCUAUGGCAACGAAAAAGAGGUAAAAAAACACAGAUGUUUAAAUUAGCUAAGCUGAAAAUUCUUUUUUGUUGUAUGAGUUUUUUGUGGAGAAGCCAUGGGCGAUGAAGACGACGGCGACGUCGUUUGUAACAGGAGAGAGAGUUGUAGUAGCAGUCGUAGUUUAUUGUAUCCUCUUAUCUCUUCCUUUAUCACUAAUCUCCCAUGGCCUGCGGCGGAUCUUGUCAUGGCUCCAGAUCGACGGUGGAUUUGGAAGAUUCGACUUGAAUCGGUGGAUUUUGAUUCUGGAGAAAAGCUUUGAAUCCGAAGCUUGUUUGCUUCAGAUCCUCCAUAGUUUUUUCAAUGUCUCUGUUUAUUCUCUGUAUGAAUCUUAGUAUCGAGAAGAAGAGGAUAAGGACGCAGAAACCGUAUUUGGCUUGCUAAUAUACAGCCUGGAACGUUUGUAUCGAGUUGUUGAGAAACCUGCAAGAGCAACUGACGAGUGGGAUUUAUAAGUUUUUACUUUGAUCCCAUCAAUUAGCUUAUUAAAUUGAGGCUGCCAUUAGCUUUCAGUUUAUCAUAAGUCCAAUAUUUGUUAAAGUGGUUAUGUGUGUGCUUGAACUUACUGAUGUGUUUUUUUAUAUAAACAGAGUGAAACAAGAUCUGAUUGAGUUAGGAAGGCCACAGCAGCAAACAUCAUACAAGCUAACAGUGACACAACGACUAGUAACGGUUUAUGACUGCUUGCUUCCCACUCGCAAGCGACAAUAACUCAUCUCGGGUUUUUAAUCUGCUUUAUGAAUUGCCGAAUUUAUUCAAUCAUUCCUCCAGAAAUACUUGCUUGAGGCCCACUUUAGAGUUUUUUCCUUGAAAUGGUAAAACAAAGUUACACAUAGGAGAUAGUUUUGAAAUUCAUGAUCUGUGCUGCAAUUUAAGAUAUCAAAACCUGUUUUGUGUUCUUGUAUGCUUUGGCUCGUCCCAUGUACGGUGAGUCGAGAUGAGAUAUUUUAUGUCAAGGCUAAAACAAAUAAAAUCAACUUGUGCCAAUAUAUACUCUACAAUGCUAUUCCUUUGGUUUAAGCAGAUUAUGUUUUGAUCUGUAUCACUACUUAGUAAAAAGAUUGGGAUUGAUUUUCACUCCAUUUUCACUCAA
Molecule: RNA transcript, 1815 nt
Organism: Arabidopsis lyrata subsp. lyrata
Lineage: Eukaryota; Viridiplantae; Streptophyta; Magnoliopsida; Brassicales; Brassicaceae
Gene name: protein DGS1, mitochondrial
Exons: 2
Source: RefSeq, a predicted model, not a curated record